Long non-coding RNA from Diceros bicornis minor, 2126 nucleotides. RefSeq lists it as uncharacterized. Lineage: Eukaryota; Metazoa; Chordata; Mammalia; Perissodactyla; Rhinocerotidae. The transcript has 3 exons. The record is from RefSeq and is a predicted model, not a curated record.
UCGUUUAUGUUCAAUAUGUACUUGUUGAAUAAUUAUUUCAAAGACCAAUUCUUAGCACAGCGCUUGCCACGUGGUAGGUUUGAUAAAUGGUGACUGUUCAUGCAAUAAAGAAUCACAGCUAGUGCUGCUUACAUGCCGGUUAUAUGGAAGGCCUUCUGGGCAUUUUACUUGUAUUACCUAAUUUAAUAUUCACAAAAUUACCUGUCUUCUCUAACCUAAUAUUUACAAAAUUACAAGUCUUCUCUAAUAUUCCCAAAAAACAAGUUAAGUACUAUUAUUAUUCCCAUUUUACAGUUGUGGAAACAGGCAGAGGGAGGCCAGGUAACUCUUGUAAGGUUUUGUGGCUAGGAGGUGGUGGGGCAAGAUUCAAGCCAGGUCUGUCUGUUUCCAGAACCCUUGGUCUUAACCACUGCACUCUCCCAACAUUUAUCCAGUACUCAGUCUUUCUUUUCUAAGAAAAUUCUUAUAAAUCAGGCCUGUGCUCCUUGGAGGCGAGAGAGAAGGGAGGGAGUAAUAAUCAGGUGGGUGAGGCAGAGACAAGUGAGCUGGGGUCCUGUCACCUACUGCAUUGCCCAGCCAUGCUGGGUGGCAGAGGUCAGAAGAGGGGUGAAUAGACUAGUUGCCAUUGGGGCCUCUCUUCCCAUAAACAGGCCAUCUGCAUGCCAAGCCCUGUGCUGGGCUAGGGAGGAAGUACAGCUAGCAUGACAGACCUGUCCCUGCCGUCAUGGGGCUGGCAGUCUAAAACAGCGACCACUAACUAGUGACCUGUGGGCAGCCCACAAAAGAGUUUUUGGUUUUGCCUGCCUAAUAUUUAAAAUUUUCUAAACUUUUUAACAUAGGUUGCUACAGUCCCCACCCCUCCCUAUUAUAUCACACAUGUCUAGCUUUAUUCAUAUGUGCCUGCCAGCACCUGAGUGUCUUUGUCUGCUCCCAUGAAGGAAGGCCCCAGUUGGGGCCAGGCAUGUGAAGACCAGCCUCCUCUGGACUGUCAUGCGGGUGAGUGCUCUGGCAUUCUUCGCCUUGCCUCCUAUCUGUUUUGAAAUCCCAGAAUCUCUACCUUGAGCCCUGAAGUCCUUCGCCUCCCAAAGCUGAAAGCCCCUCCACUGGCCCCAGAUGUUGUGCAGCCCGUGGCUGGAAUAUCUGAAAACUCCGGUGGUGGAUACCAGCUCAGAGUCAGUCAAAGCUGGGUUCGUGUCCCAGCUUCACUGCUUACCAGCUGAGUGAUGCUGUGCAAGUGAUAAAUACCUGCCUCAGUUUCAUCCUCUGCAAAAUGGGGGUAAUAAUAGUUUCCUCUUCAUUGGGUUAUUGUGAAGAGUAAGUCAGAUGAUGUGGGGAAGAUGCUUGACACAGAGCAGGUGCUCACCAAACGGGUGGCUAAUCUUUCUUUGGGAGGUAGCUGAUAUAGAGCCACUGGCGCUGUAAGUUCUUCCUUAUAUCAAGCUGAGGUCCGCCGGCUUUGUAACUUCCAUAGCUUCAUGCUACUGGCAGCAUAAGUGUGCUUCUCUUUCCAUAGAACAGUUGUUCAGAAAUUGAGGACCAAGCUAAACAUCACAGCUUCCCAUUCAAGACCUGCUGCGUAAUUUGGGGAGCCCAGUGCAAACUAAAAUUGUAGAGUUCCUUGUUCAAAAAUUAAGAAUGUCAAGAUGAUGACAGCAGAGCUCAGAGCCCCUUCUGAGGGCAGAGUCCCGUGUGACUCCCACCCCGUGCUCCCACUGGUGGUCCACGGGCAUGUGUUGUCCUACAGAACCUACGUGGCUGGAUGCGGUCCGCCUGGAGCAAGAGAAAGCCAGCCUGGCACAGCCAUCUGCGCUUCCAGCCCUGCGGACCCUGGUCAAGAAGCUCACCUCUCUCCCACUGAAAACCACGUGAGGGUUGCCUUCGGUUGAGUCUGUGAGACAGACAAGGGCUCCUGUCAGCCAGGUGCCUCCAGGUGAACCAGACGCAGAAUCUGAUGCCCAGAGGUCACAGGCCGCAUAUCCAGUUGGUGGAGUCAGGAUUGGGAUCCAGGCUGUGCGACUUUAAAGCUGGUGCUCUUGCCCAUUGAUGGAAGGAUUUGGAUUUGGAAUCAGAAGACACGACUGGAGUGGGGGGAUAAUGAUGAGGGCAACAACAACGACGGCAGUAAU